GGGGGUGUAGCUCAGUGGUAAAGUGCUUGCCUAACACGCAUGAGGCCCUGGGUUUGGUCCUAGUACCAUCA
This 71-nucleotide transfer RNA is filed under the name Ictidomys tridecemlineatus (thirteen-lined ground squirrel). RNAcentral's name for it is "Spermophilus tridecemlineatus (thirteen-lined ground squirrel) tRNA". It matches the Rfam family "tRNA". From Rfam's summary of the family: Transfer RNA (tRNA) molecules are approximately 80 nucleotides in length. Their secondary structure includes four short double-helical elements and three loops (D, anti-codon, and T loops). The record is from Rfam by way of RNAcentral. Lineage: Eukaryota; Metazoa; Chordata; Mammalia; Rodentia; Sciuridae.